Molecule: long non-coding RNA, 731 nt
Organism: Cygnus olor (mute swan)
Lineage: Eukaryota; Metazoa; Chordata; Aves; Anseriformes; Anatidae
Exons: 5
Source: RefSeq, a predicted model, not a curated record
GCAUUGAGCAAUUCACAGCUGCACCAAAACUCUCAGCUGAACACUGGGGCUUCAGGAUUCAAACAGCCCAGAAGAAUUGAUCUGCUGAGUCCACAGCAUCCACCCUCUUCCUCAGUUGAAGAGUUUAAGCAUGUUUCAGUGGUUCUGCACUCCCAGCACACAAAACCAUCUGCAGCAGCCCAAGUCAGAAACAGGCUCUCAUAGGCUGGCUCUGGAACAGGGAGUUUCUCGCAGCACGACCAACCACCCUUCCAGCAAAAACAGGUGUUCUCCACAUGGUGUGAGCAGGCUUUUUGCUGGGAACAGGGUGUGUGCGGGCUGAAAAGCACUGAGGAGGAACUGAGGCCAUGGCUGAUCCAGGAGGGUGCCCAGAGCAGCUCUGCAAGCGAGGUUAGUGCCUUCGCUUCUCUGUCAUCACCAGUCCCUGAGAGCAAUCACCACCCACCAACAGUUCCUCAAGAUAAGACUGAGCCAGCUGGGAGAAGAAAGCCUUUGAUAUUUCACUGCCUCGCUGACUCACGUCUCAGAGUGGACCAGCAGAGGUGACUGGGCAUAUAAGAAUAACACUGGACAGAAGGUUUGACUUGGACAAAGUGGCUGCAUGCUUCUCUCUUUCCUUGUCCCAUUGGAAGUACAACAUUGCUGAGAAACAACUGAAGUUUAUAGGUAUUUCAAUAUUAGUCUUCACCUUUCAUGUCCCUUGCUGCUGCCCAUCAGCAUGUACAUUUUAG